AUUGAACGCUGGCGGCGUGCUUAACACAUGCAAGUCGAUCGGUAACAGGUGUAGCAAUACAUGCUGACGAGAGGCGGACGGGUGAGUAAUGCUUGGGAAUCUGCCUAUUAGUGGGGGACAACCCGGGAAACGUACGGGCUAAUACCGCAUACGCUCUACGGAGGAAAGCCGGGGACCGGCAAGGCCUGGCGCUAAUAGAUGAGCCCAAGUCGGAUUAGCUAGUUGGUAGGGUAACGGCCUACCAAGGCGACAAUCCGUAGCUGGUCUGAGAGGACGACCAGCCACACCGGAACUGAGACACGGUCCGGACUCCUACGGGAGGCAGCAGUGGGGAAUAUUGGACAAUGGGGGCGAACCCUGAUCCAGCGACGCCGCGUGGGUGAAGAAGGCCUGCGGGUUGUAAAGCCCUUUCGGUGGGGAAGAAAAGUCUCGACCUAAUACGUCGGGACCUUGACGUAA
This 459-nucleotide ribosomal RNA is filed under the name uncultured bacterium. RNAcentral describes it as "bacterial SSU rRNA". It matches the Rfam family "Bacterial small subunit ribosomal RNA", at positions 29 to 477 of the family's 1533-position model. The record is from RNAcentral.